AAACAGCAGGAGGAUAUGAACUUGGAAAGAUUCAGCUUUCAUGACAGCCUUGCCACUUGAAAACAGACAUAGAAAAAUAGAGACAAUAUCACGAGCAAGCAAAGGCAAAGGUUGGCAUACAUGUCAAGAGAAUGUUCUCCAGCUGGGGCCUGCAGUACAGAGAAUUGUAUAUACCAGAGGGCUCCUGGGACCCUAGGCAGAUUAUUAUGGUAAUAUUGGAGGCUGCUGUCCUCUCCCUCCCACAGCUGGGCCGCCUCUCUCAUUGUAAGUAUUGAAGCAAUAUGUUUUGCAAAUUAUACGUUGGGAACAACAGGGACCCAGUAAAGUGAGGAAAAAGAGAAACAUUGCAAAAUGUUGCCUUUAA
Molecule: long non-coding RNA, 364 nt
Filed under: Sus scrofa (pig)
Lineage: Eukaryota; Metazoa; Chordata; Mammalia; Artiodactyla; Suidae
Description: lncRNA (ENSSSCG00040045855.1, ENSSSCG00060026457.1)
Source: RNAcentral